Molecule: ribosomal RNA, 630 nt
Filed under: uncultured Actinomycetes bacterium
Lineage: Bacteria; Bacillati; Actinomycetota; Actinomycetes
Description: bacterial SSU rRNA
Rfam family: Bacterial small subunit ribosomal RNA
Source: RNAcentral
UGUUGGUGAGGUAAUGGCUCACCAAGGCGUCGACGGGUAGCCGGCCUGAGAGGGUGACCGGCCACACUGGGACUGAGACACGGCCCAGACUCCUACGGGAGGCAGCAGUGGGGAAUAUUGCACAAUGGGCGAAAGCCUGAUGCAGCAACGCCGCGUGAGGGACGACGGCCUUCGGGUUGUAAACCUCUUUUAGCAAGGAAGAAGCGAAAGUGACGGUACUUGCAGAAAAAGCGCCGGCUAACUACGUGCCAGCAGCCGCGGUAAUACGUAGGGCGCAAGCGUUAUCCGGAAUUAUUGGGCGUAAAGAGCUCGUAGGCGGUUUGUCGCGUCUGCUGUGAAAACCCGAGGCUCAACCUCGGGCCUGCAGUGGGUACGGGCAGACUAGAGUGCGGUAGGGGAGAUUGGAACUCCUGGUGUAGCGGUGGAAUGCGCAGAUAUCAGGAAGAACACCGAUGGCGAAGGCAGAUCUCUGGGCCGUAACUGACGCUGAGGAGCGAAAGGGUGGGGAGCAAACAGGCUUAGAUACCCUGGUAGUCCACCCCGUAAACGUUGGGAACUAGUUGUGGGGUCCAUUCCACGGAUUCCGUGACGCAGCUAACGCAUUAAGUUCCCCGCCUGGGGAGUACGGAA